Molecule: ribosomal RNA, 207 nt
Filed under: uncultured bacterium
Lineage: Bacteria
Description: partial 16S ribosomal RNA
Rfam family: Bacterial small subunit ribosomal RNA
Source: RNAcentral
AGCGUAGGCGGGCGCUUAAGUGGGAUGUUUAAAACCGGGGCCCAACCCCGGAGCGGCAUUCCAAACUGGGCGUCUCGAAUAGGGGAGAGGUCGAUGGAAUUGGAGGUGUAGCGGUGGAAUGCGUAGAGAUCUCCAAGAACACCGGUUGCGAAGGCGGUCGACUGGACCCAUAUUGACGCUGAGGCUCGAAAGCAUGGGGAGCAAACA